UGACCUCGGAUCAGGUAGGGAUACCCGCUGAACUUAAGCAUAUCAAUAAGCGGAGGAAAAGAAACCAACAGGGAUUGCCUUAGUAACUGCGAGUGAAGCGGCAGAAGCUCAAAUUUGAAAUCUGUGUCCUUCCGGGCACCGAGUUGUAAUUUUGAGAUACGUUUUCGACCGACAGGCCUGCCUUAAGUUCCUUGGAACAGGACGUCACAGAGGGUGAGAAUCCCGUGAACGGUAGGCCUCGAGGCGCAUGAUACGUAUUCGACGAGUCGAGUUGUUUGGGAAUGCAGCUCAAAAUGGGUGGUAAAUUUCAUCUAAAGCUAAAUAUUGGGGAGAGACCGAUAGCGCACAAGUAGAGUGAUCGAAAGAUGAAAAGCACUUUGAAAAGAGAGUUAAAAAGUACGUGAAAUUGUUGAAAGGGAAGCGCUUGAGACCAGACUCAAUAUCCGUUGAUCAACUUCAGUUCUCUGUUGUGCACUCGGCGGCUUUUGGGACAGCAUCGGUUCCCGCGGAGGGACAAAGCCUCAGGAAAUGUGGCACCCUUCGGGGUGUGUUAUAGUCCUCCGGGCAAUGCCUCCAGCGGGGACCGAGGACCGCGCUCCGGCUAGGAUGCUGUCAUAAUGGUCUCCAGCGACCCGUCUUGA
Molecule: ribosomal RNA, 641 nt
Filed under: Tarzetta sp. P9
Lineage: Eukaryota; Fungi; Ascomycota; Pezizomycetes; Pezizales; Tarzettaceae
Description: eukaryotic LSU rRNA
Rfam family: Eukaryotic large subunit ribosomal RNA
Source: RNAcentral